Molecule: ribosomal RNA, 416 nt
Filed under: uncultured eukaryote
Lineage: Eukaryota
Description: SSU rRNA
Rfam family: Eukaryotic small subunit ribosomal RNA
Source: RNAcentral
AGCUCCGCUAGCGUAUAUUAAAAUUGUUGCAGUUAAAAAGCUCGUAGUUGGACUUAUGGCAUGAUACGUCAGGCCCGCAUCAUUAUUGAUUGUGAGUGUCUGUAUGAGUCUGCCAUCUUUAAUCGAAGAUAAUUUCAAACAUCCGGAAACAAUAGUUGAAGGUUGUGGGAGAUAAGAAUUGAUUCUAUUACUUUGAACAAAUGAAAGUGCUUAAAACAGGCUUAUAAAACGCUUGAAUCUACUAGCAUGGAAUAAUAACAUAGGACAUCGUUCUAUUUUGUUGGUUUAUGGAAUUGAUGUAAUGAUUAAUAGGGAUAGUUGGGGGUGCUAGUACUCAGUGGCCAGAGGUGAAAUUCUUGGAUUCACUGAAGACUGUCUUCUGCGAAAGCAUUCACCAAGGAUAUCUUCAUCAAAUC